GAUCAUUAUCAAAACAGCGGACUUCGGUCCUUGCUGCACCCUUGUCUUUUGCGUACCGUAUGUUUCCUCGGCGGGCUUGCCUGCCGGUUGGACAUUAUCAAACCUUUUUGUAGUUGCAAUCAGCGUCAGAAAAUAAACAAUAGUUACAACUUUCAACAACGGAUCUCUUGGUUCUGGCAUCGAUGAAGAACGCAGCGAAAUGCGAAAAGUAGUGUGAAUUGCAGAAUUCAGUGAAUCAUCGAAUCUUUGAACGCACAUUGCGCCCCUUGGUAUUCCAUGGGGCAUGCCUGUUCGAGCGUCAUUUUGUACCCUCAAGCACUGCUUGGUGUUGGGCGUUUGUCCUGCAAAGGACUCGCCUGAAAGCGAUUGGCGGCCAACGUACUGGUGGUAGAGCGCAGCACAAUUUGCGUCUCUCCCUUCUACGUCGGCGUCCAUGAAGCCUUUUUUCAACGUUUGACCUCGGAUCAGGUAGGGAUACCCG
Molecule: ribosomal RNA, 481 nt
Filed under: fungal sp. E15525G
Lineage: Eukaryota; Fungi
Description: eukaryotic LSU rRNA
Rfam family: 5.8S ribosomal RNA (bases 148-301)
Source: RNAcentral